This 134-nucleotide ribosomal RNA is filed under the name Myrcia restingae. Its description in RNAcentral is "Calyptranthes restingae partial 18S ribosomal RNA". The stretch from base 1 to 103 matches the Rfam family "Eukaryotic small subunit ribosomal RNA", at positions 1729 to 1831 of the family's 1831-position model. Lineage: Eukaryota; Viridiplantae; Streptophyta; Magnoliopsida; Myrtales; Myrtaceae. The record is from RNAcentral.
UUCGCCGCCGAUGACGUCGCGAGAAGUCCACUGAACCUUAUCAUUUAGAGGAAGGAGAAGUCGUAACAAGGUUUCCGUAGGUGAACCUGCGGAAGGAUCAUUGUCGAAUCCUGCCUAGCAGAAUGACCAGAGGA